CUUGUGCAGAGGACUCUCCAGGUGAAGGCUCAAGGGUGGAUCCAGCUCGAGACACCCUCGCUCCCCCUCACAGUCGGACCUUAGGAUUUAGGCUUUAACAUCUCCACAUCAUGAGAUUCGAAACCUUUAGGUCUUGUCUUCCGUUCUGUCCUCCAAAUCGGCCUCUUCCGAGCCUGUUGACCAGGGCCAGCCGGGCAGAGGGCUGGGCUCGCUCAACGAGGCUCCUCUCGCACCUCCUGGAGCUUCAGGCUUCUUUCCGUUGCAGAGAAGCUUUAUGGGCCAAUUCGUUCGGCAUCCCCGGGGGCAGGUGCGCGGUGCGCGGGGAAGAAGAGGAUUUGACUGCGGUUCUCCACCCCCGGCGCCCAACCUCCACCCCGGUGCGCGCGCUCUUCCAGGCUCCUGCUGGUCCCACUUGCCAGGAGUUAGGUCUCAGGUCAGCCUGAGCUCCUGAGACGCCCAGGCCCGGAAAGACACGUAGGGGAAACCAUCUGCUCACUUCUGUCCUGUCCGGAAGGGAUCCCUUUCUGACGGGAAAGAAAGGCGGUGAGUCCUGUCCUGUUGAGUAGGCGGAAGAGAGAUCAAAGGGAAGACAAGAAAAAUCCUGUGAGUUUUCAGGAUCUAAAGUUACCAUGAGGUCGACCUAACCUCCUCUGGAGGUCCUCCCGGUCCUCCCGUGGCUGUCGAAGGUGAAUCUAGCUUCCGUCUCCAGUUCGCCAAGGCGGACAAAGCCGACGACAAUGGGCCUGUCCACUAUCUUCUUUCAUAUGCACAAAAUGUCAGCUCUUCUUGUUUCUAACUUGCAACAUCCCACCUGAUGACCAGCUCAGCAAAUUAGAGACCCUCCAUGGGAUUCCAUCUCUGUCUUAGUUCGGGCUUCCAUAACUAUAUACCAUAAACUGGGUGGCUAAUUCACGACAGAAAUUUAUUUCUCACAGUUCUGGAGGUUGGAAGUCCGAGAUCAAGGUGCCAACAUGGUAGGGUUAUGAUGAGGGACUUUUUUCUGGUUGUAGACUGCCACCUUCUCAUUGUAUCCUCAGGGGGCAGAGAGAGCUCCCUGGGGUCCCUUUUAUAGUGGCAUUAGUCCCACUCAGACUAACGGGACUAAAUCCAGACCCAGUUAUUGCAAUGUGUGCAAAAGAACAAGGACUUGUACUAUCUGACUUCAAGGCUUACUAUAAGCUAUUACAGACAAGGCAUCAGGAGGGACAAAUAGAUAAACAGACUGAGUUAAGAGACCUGAAACUGAUCCACAGCCAUACAGUCAAUAAAUGAGCUUUCAAUGAAAGCAGUUCAAUAGAAGAAAAUAAAUCAUUUCAAUUAAUGGACUUUCAUAUGGAGGUGGGGGAGACCAACAAUGUUAUUCUCCCUCACACUACAUACAAAAGUAAUUUGAGGUGCAUUAUACACCAAAACUUAAAAGUUAAAGAUAUAAAGCAUUUCAAGGAUACUCUGUAGGUAAAGAUUAGCCUACCAACAAGUAGGACACUGAAAAAAUAUAUAUAAAAGACAUGAUAAAUUAGACUUCAUCAACAUUAGCCAUACCUUCUCAUCAAAAGAUACCACUAAGAAAGUGAAAAGGCAAGCAAGCCACAGACAGAGAGAAAAUAGUCACAAAACGUAUCUGACCUCCACAUCCUGUAAUUAGAAUUAUUGUGGUCUGGUACACUGCACCCAGUUUCUGCAGGAGUACUUUCUGGGUGUCUCUAAUGAGUAAGAGAGGGCCCCAUGGGAUAUUCCUACAGUUCCCAGAUGAACAGUGGGAAAGACUCUACGUUGACAAACCCCGGGGACCUGAAACCUCAGGUCCUCAAGGAGGGUAGAGGAUACCUGGACCCUGACCCAGACCCCUAGAUGGGCUGUGCCAAGAGACCCAGCAAGGGAAGGGAUUCCCUCCUGCCUCAGGUUCUCUGUUCUUCUGUGGUUAGAAGACCUGAACCCAACUCCCUCCCCAAGCAGUGGAGAUAGGGCUUUUCCAAGGGCUGGGGAUCUUGCUGUCCUAAGGACAGCUGAGCAAGGAGGUCGAGGAGGAUCUUGGGUGGUGGAGGAGAGGAAACCGGGUAAGAUGUGUGAAGCAGUCGGCUAUACCAGGCACAGAGAGGACCCACUGGGACACAAGAGCCUGCAUGUGAAGCCAGGCCUUGGGCCACCUUGUUCCUCAAAGGGGUGCUUACUUCCAUGGGAUCUUCAAAGGGACUGUGGAAAGAGAAGCCUUCAGCCCACACCUCUGAAUGCUUUUCCACCACAGCAUGCCCUGUGGCCUGUAUCCUGCUGGUGUGGAACAGUCAGACCCCUGCAGGGCUGCAGAGCCUCUGUACUGGGCGGCAUCCCAGCCUGAGUGCCAGAGCUCAGUGGGCAGGCCCCCGAGCAAGUAGAGAGGAGGGCACCUUUUGGACAGAACCUGUGGGACAAGAGCGACGUCUCAUCCGUUCAGGUUCCUCACAAAAUGAGAGUCAGGAAGAUCAGGGUGCAGACCUGAUUUCCCACGAAGGGCUGAAAGCAGACAACCGGAGGGAGAGCAGCACCUGGGCCAAUGAGGUAGAAGACAGAAGACCACAGUGUACUUCUGCCCUCAACCUCACCCCCUCCCACCUACAUCCUCCACACCCCCUGACCACCUUCUUCAGAAACGUAAUAGGAAUCAAGAUCCCCCCUGGCCUGGUUGCUAUGGGAGGCACAGUGGCCUGAUGGAGCCUGAGGCAGGUGUGGGAAGAUGUGGAUUGUCUAACUGGAGGUUGGGAGUCCAGGGUGCAGAAGGAGAAGCUUGGAGUGCAGGAUUUGGUGGUAUGUGUGUGGCAGUAGGCACUAUGUUCUAAUUGCCAGUUUUUUUUUCUUCUUCCUUUUUUUCUCUAGCUAAACAAGCACUGGCCUUGAGAUAAGCAAUGCUGAAGCACUUGCAGCUCACCUAUUACCAUAAACUGACUGAGCCCUCCCUACACAAGCCGUAACUACUGCUUUGAUUGGACAAGAGACUGAUUUCAGUAGUUUUCUCUUGAUAAGAGACCACUGGCCGUGGGCGGGUUCUGGACAGUUUACAGAAGCUAUGCACUUGAUUGCCUUUGUGUCCCUGCUUCACCUUUUGAAGCAUAGGGCCUAAUUAUAAUGUAUUUAAAUGUUGUCUCCACCCCAAAGUGAACAUGGGUUGCAUGUAACAGGCAUGUUUACUCAGCAUGCAUGCAGCAGGAUCCCUUCACAAAUAUUCAGAGCUCCCCCUAUUCCCUGUUGAAUAUGUAUAUGUGGCCAGCCAGAUCAACGUAAAUCACUAUUCGCCCUCCCCUCCCUGGAAACCUACUUUUCGGGUUUCAGCAGGAAGCUAUGCCUCCCAGUCUGUCAGAAUGGCCACUUGCAGGCUGUAACCCUUUAUAAAAAAAUAAAAUCUCCUUUCUAAAUUU
Long non-coding RNA from Homo sapiens (human), 3389 nucleotides. Ensembl annotates it as long intergenic non-protein coding RNA 1145. Lineage: Eukaryota; Metazoa; Chordata; Mammalia; Primates; Hominidae. The record is from Ensembl.